This 360-nucleotide long non-coding RNA is filed under the name Salmo salar (Atlantic salmon). RNAcentral describes it as "lncRNA (ENSSSAG00000119976.1)". Lineage: Eukaryota; Metazoa; Chordata; Actinopteri; Salmoniformes; Salmonidae. The record is from RNAcentral.
CUCUGUAAGGACUGCUAAAGGUCCACUCCACAGGUACUGCUCUGUAAGGACUGCUAAAGGUCCACUCCACAGGUACUGCUCUAUAAGGACUGCUAAAGGUCCACUCCACAGGUACUGCUCUGUAAGGACUGCUAAAGGUCCACUCCACAGGUACUGCUCUAUAAGGACUGCUAAAGGUCCACUCCACAGGUACUGCUCUAUAAGGACUGCUACAGGUCCACUCCACAGGUACUGCUCUGUAAGGACUGCUACAGGUCCACUCCACAGGUACUGCUCUGUAAGGACUGCUAAAGGUCCACUCCACAGGUACUGCUCCGUAAGGACUGCUAAAGGUCCACUCGAGAGGUACUGACGCAGAUU